CCCCUCUCGGGGUCACACCUGGAGAGUUUCCAGGACUCUAUCAGUCUCGACUACGAGAGGGAGAGUCAAGCAGAAGUAUACCCAUUCCAUUCCUAGCUUGGUCAGUGGCUGCAGAGUAGAAGGCAAUCUGCUACAAGU
This is a small nucleolar RNA of Tachyglossus aculeatus (Australian echidna), 138 nucleotides long. The record is from RefSeq and is a predicted model, not a curated record. Lineage: Eukaryota; Metazoa; Chordata; Mammalia; Monotremata; Tachyglossidae.